AUACGUAGGGGGCAAGCGUUAUCCGGAUUUACUGGGUGUAAAGGGAGCGUAGACGGCGAAGCAAGUCUGAAGUGAAAGGACGGGGCCCAACCCCGGAACUGCUUUGGAAACUGUUUGGCUGGAGUGCGGGCGGGGUAAGCGGAAUUCCUAGUGUAGCGGUGAAAUGCGUAGAUAUUAGGAGGAACACCGGUGGCGAAGGCGGCUUACUGGACCGUAACUGACGUUGAGGCUCGAAGGCGUGGGGAGCAAACAGGAUUAGAUACCCUGGUAGUCCACGCGGUAAACGAUGAUCACUAGGUGUCCGUGGGUAUGACCCAUGGGUGCCGCAGCCAACGCAAUAAGUGAUCCACCUGGGGAGUACGUUCGCAAGAAUGAAACUUAAAGGAAUUGACGGGG
Molecule: ribosomal RNA, 396 nt
Filed under: uncultured bacterium
Lineage: Bacteria
Description: partial 16S ribosomal RNA
Rfam family: Bacterial small subunit ribosomal RNA
Source: RNAcentral